GCGGGAGUAUUUCAACUGUUAGAAUAUGUUCCUUCCCGGAACAAGGUAUAGGCCUAACCCGAACAGAGAUAUAGGUGCAAAUCCUAUCUUCCGCUCCA
RNAcentral lists this transfer RNA (98 nucleotides) under Staphylococcus haemolyticus. RNAcentral's name for it is "tRNA-OTHER". It matches the Rfam family "tRNA". From Rfam's summary of the family: Transfer RNA (tRNA) molecules are approximately 80 nucleotides in length. Their secondary structure includes four short double-helical elements and three loops (D, anti-codon, and T loops). Lineage: Bacteria; Bacillati; Bacillota; Bacilli; Caryophanales; Staphylococcaceae. The record is from RNAcentral.